AGCUUUCAGGCUCCUUUAGGAUUCUGAUCUUUCAAUGACCUGAAGAAAGCUCAUACUGAAAGGGCCCUCAUCUUUGUGUCCCACGGAGCCGGAGAGCACUGUGGCCGCUAUGAAGAGCUGGCUCGGAUGCUGAUGGGGCUGGACCUGCUGGUGUUUGCCCACGACCAUGUUGGCCACGGACAGAGU
RNAcentral lists this small RNA (186 nucleotides) under Pongo abelii (Sumatran orangutan). RNAcentral's name for it is "processed transcript". Lineage: Eukaryota; Metazoa; Chordata; Mammalia; Primates; Hominidae. The record is from RNAcentral.